RNAcentral lists this ribosomal RNA (495 nucleotides) under uncultured Rikenellaceae bacterium. Its description in RNAcentral is "bacterial SSU rRNA". It matches the Rfam family "Bacterial small subunit ribosomal RNA", at positions 887 to 1382 of the family's 1533-position model. The record is from RNAcentral. Lineage: Bacteria; Pseudomonadati; Bacteroidota; Bacteroidia; Bacteroidales; Rikenellaceae.
GCCCGCUCAGAAACUUAACGGAAUUGACGGGGGCCCGCACAAGCGGUGGAGCAUGUGGUUUAAUUCGAUGAUACGCGAGGAACCUUACCUGGGCUCAAAUGUAUGUUGACGUUAUUUCUGAAAGGGAUACUUCUUCGGACAAUAUACAAGGUGCUGCAUGGUUGUCGUCAGCUCGUGCCGUGAGGUGUCGGGUUAAGUCCCAUAACGAGCGCAACCCCUACUGCUAGUUGCCAGCGGGUCAUGCCGGGGACUCUAGCGGAACUGCCAGCGUAAGCUGCGAGGAAGGUGGGGAUGACGUCAAAUCAGCACGGCCCUUACGUCCAGGGCUACACACGUGUUACAAUGGCCAGUACAGAGGGCAGCCACCCCGCGAGGGGGCGCUAAUCCUAAAAGCUGGUCCCAGUUCGGAUCGGAGUCUGCAACCCGACUCCGUGAAGCUGGAUUCGCUAGUAAUCGCGCAUCAGCCACGGCGCGGUGAAUACGUUCCCGGGCCUU